GCCUCACACAUGCUAGGCAAGCGCUCUGCCACUGAGCCACAAGCCCAGCCACAGGAUCUCAUUCUUGUGGUUGUACAUGACGUAGCGUUUCACUGGUGGUGUAUUCAUAUAUGAACAUAGAAAGGCUAUGUCUCAUUCUUUAUUAUUCCUAUCCUUUCCCCUUCCCUUCAUUCCUCUGUCUAAUCCAAUGAACUUCUAUUAGUCUUCAAUUCCAUCCAUUUACCAGCAAAUGCCAUAAUUUCAUUCUUCUUUAUGGCUGAGUAAUAUUCCAUUGGUUAUAUAGCUACCUUUUAUUGAGGAUCUGCUAUGUGCCAGAUGUCACGUAAGAUGCAUUUAAAGCAUGCUAGUCUCAAGCUAGAAAAGUCAUUCCCUUUACUAAAUCAUUGGUUUUAAAAAUAUUGGAGGAAUAGGACAAUGGGAGAAGAGAGACAACAGAGAUCCUGUCAACAGGAUCAUUUCAGACAGUGUUAACACUGCAAAGAAACAAAAUGGUGAUGAUGCAGUGAGUGGUUUUAAAUAGCAAGACCUGGACACCUCUCCAAGGGGGUAAUGUUAGUGCCGGGACCGAAGGAUAUAAAGAGAC
Molecule: long non-coding RNA, 583 nt
Filed under: Marmota monax (woodchuck)
Lineage: Eukaryota; Metazoa; Chordata; Mammalia; Rodentia; Sciuridae
Source: RNAcentral